Non-coding RNA from Perkinsus marinus ATCC 50983, 176 nucleotides. Lineage: Eukaryota; Perkinsozoa; Perkinsida; Perkinsidae. The record is from Rfam.
CCUGCCUUUGUACACACCGCCCGUCGCUCCUACCGAUUGAGUGAUCCGGUGAGCUGUCCGGACUGCGAUUAGUUCAGUUUCUGUUCUCUUCGCGGGAAGUUCUGCAAACCUUAUCACUUAGAGGAAGGAGAAGUCGUAACAAGGUUUCCGUAGGUGAACCUGCGGAAGGAUCAUUC